GGGUUGCAAAAGAAGUAGGUAGCUUAACCUUCGGGAGGGCGCUUACCACUUUGUGAUUCAUGACUGGGGUGAAGUCGUAACAAGGUAACCGUAGGGGAACCUGCGGUUGGAUCACCUCCUUACCUUAA
This 128-nucleotide ribosomal RNA is filed under the name Erwinia sp. CPCC 100877. RNAcentral's name for it is "partial 16S ribosomal RNA". It matches the Rfam family "Bacterial small subunit ribosomal RNA", at positions 1412 to 1533 of the family's 1533-position model. The record is from RNAcentral. Lineage: Bacteria; Pseudomonadati; Pseudomonadota; Gammaproteobacteria; Enterobacterales; Erwiniaceae.